This is a long non-coding RNA of Artibeus jamaicensis (Jamaican fruit-eating bat), 910 nucleotides long. RefSeq lists it as uncharacterized. NCBI's taxonomy places the organism in Eukaryota, Metazoa, Chordata, Mammalia, Chiroptera, Phyllostomidae. The record is from RefSeq and is a predicted model, not a curated record. The transcript is spliced from 3 exons.
AACUUGUGCAAGACCCCGAACUUGUGAAAGAAACCCAUGUAAAAGAAUCUUGGAACAGGAUGUAAUCAAACUCCAAUCUGCUGAGAAAUGCUGCAAAAAUGACUUCAACUGCCAAAAAUAAUAAUGUCGUUUACAAGCAGCUCUUCCUAUGUCUAAGGAAGGACUAGCCACGCCGGAGUUUACGCUGCUGGUUUUGGAGGAGCAAAGUAAGGAAAGGGCAAGUCCUGCCUCCCCCCCACAUAAAACACACAGUAUCAGAAUCCACUAGAAGCUGUGGCCCAUUCCCAAGAUGCUGGCAAUACCGAGAGAGAGUCAUGUACACAAAACUCUGAACGGGAACAUUUGGGACUGAAGAUUUAAAUGCCCCAGUGAAUGAGGAGGCAUCCUGUCAAGCUAGUUGGAAGCAGAUUGAGUAAGGGACCUAGAGAGACAAAUCUGAAAGCAGGAUGUUCUGAUCCAGAAGCAGCUGGAAAUGGCAGUAACCUGAUAUGGAGCAACCAAGAACUGAAGGUUUGUUUGGAAGGCGAGACUAUGACCAGCUGUGAGACUGAGUGAUGGCAGCUGAGAAUAAGUGCAAAUACAGCUAGUAGUGACUUCCGGUAGGAAGUUACUGAGGACCUUCCUUGUUUCAUGUCUCUUUCUGUCGCGACAUUUGUACCGCAUCCAUAGAUUGCAAUACUAUCUAUGGAGGAGGGAAACAAGCUCUUCAAUUUAUUUUUAUUCUUAAUAAUAGCUUCUGAGCCUCCAUGAUUUGAAAAUACAAUGAUAAAAUGGCUCUUUCAGAAAACAAUAUAUUUCAGAGAAUAAGCAGCACAGAUGGUAGGUAGAAAACAGACAGGGGGAGGAUAAGAAUCGUAUGGGAAAUGUGGAAGCCAAAGAACUUACAAGUAUGACACAUGGACAUGAACUA